RNAcentral lists this long non-coding RNA (655 nucleotides) under Manacus vitellinus (golden-collared manakin). RNAcentral describes it as "lncRNA (ENSMVIG00005014107.1)". The record is from RNAcentral. Lineage: Eukaryota; Metazoa; Chordata; Aves; Passeriformes; Pipridae.
GAGCAGUGAGUCACCUACCUGAUGUUAUUAGACUUGUGACAACAAGAAACUAGAUGAAACCUCUCAACUGUAUCUGCUUUCCAGACCACAGAAACACAGCACAUUGAAUUUGCUUUGACUUACACAGACUGCAAAGCCUGGUCUACAGGACUGGAAAACAAAAGUGGUUUUUAAUCUGAGGGAUUCUGUAACCUCUGUUGAACUGCAAGGCUGAGCUCCUUGAUGCCUGAGCAUGUCUCAGAGGGCGUCACGGCACCUGGGAGUCUGCACCACGCACAGAUUACUCUUAUCACUUCUCUGCUAACUCAGACAUCAGAAACAGCCCAGCAGGAAACAACCACAUGCUAUAGUGAUCUGCCCAAGCGAACCAAUCUCAGCACUGGGGCAUCUGCCCCACACAGGGCUUGGCUGCUUGCCCAGAACCUGCUACUGGUAUGGCCAGGAGGAAUGAGACCAAGCUUCCUUUGCACUAACUCCUGCAUCCAUAGGGAUGAGGAGGCAGGUGAAAUGGACAAUCCCCUUCCAUGUGGGACCCUGGUAUAUGUUGCAUCCACUCGGCAUGAGAGCUCACCAGAGGCACACAAGGUACAGAUGGGCAGACCUUGGUGUUUCCAGUUUCACUUGACUGCUUGUAUUAGGUUUGCCUGGCAAGGUU